This 514-nucleotide ribosomal RNA is filed under the name uncultured bacterium. RNAcentral's name for it is "bacterial SSU rRNA". It matches the Rfam family "Bacterial small subunit ribosomal RNA", at positions 15 to 518 of the family's 1533-position model. The record is from RNAcentral.
GAUUACUGGCUCAGGAUGAACGCUAGCGACAGGCUUAACACAUGCAAGUCGAGGGGCAGCACGGGAGUAGCAAUACAACUGGUGGCGACCGGCGCACGGGUGAGUAACGCGUAUGCAACCUACCUAUCAGAGGGGAAUAACCCGGCGAAAGUCGGACUAAUACCGCAUAAAACAGGGGCACCGCAUGGUGAUAUUUGUUAAAGAGAUUCGCUGAUAGAUGGGCAUGCGUUCCAUUAGGUAGUUGGUGAGGUAACGGCUCACCAAGCCGACGAUGGAUAGGGGAACUGAGAGGUUGGUCCCCCACACUGGUACUGAGACACGGACCAGACUCCUACGGGAGGCAGCAGUGAGGAAUAUUGGUCAAUGGGCGGGAGCCUGAACCAGCCAAGUCGCGUGAAAGGAAGAAGGAUCUAUGGUUCGUAAACUUCUUUUGCAGGGGAAUAAAGUGCAGGACGUGUCCUAUUUUGUAUGUACCCUGAGAAUAAGGAUCGGCUAACUCCGUGCCAGCAGCCGC